CCCAGAGAUCCGCCUGCCUCUGCCUCCCGAGUGCUGGGAUUAAAGGCGUGCGCCACCACCGCCCGGCUGGGGUUUUAUUUUUUAAGGCUGUUUCUCUGUAGCUUUUUAAGCCCCCUGGAAUUUACUCUGUAGAAGACGAUGGCCUCGAACUAACAGAUCUACCUGUCUCUGGCUCCCAAGUGCUGGGGUUAAAGGCAUGCAUCACCACCACCCAGCUAAAUUUUAUUUAUGUAUUUUUGUGUAUUUAUGUACUGUUUAACAUGUUUUGUGUGCACAUAUGCCCAAAUGCAUCAGAUCUCAUUAUAGAUGGUUAUAAGCUACCAUGUGGUUACUGGGAACUAAACUCAGGAUCUGUAACCACUGAGCCAUCUUUCCAGCCUGGACUUUUGGUUUUGAGGGUGGGUCUAUACAACCCAACCUGGUCUCAAAUUUAAUUGUCCUGUCUCAGCCUCUUAAGUGCCUACACUACAAGUAGGCCACCCUACCUAGAGUAACUUCCACAAUGUGGUGUUGUCAUUAAAGUUCAUCAUAGUGCUCUUUUGGGAACAUUAUUUAGCCCGGUGUUCACCUUUUAAACCCUUAGGACAGUCAGAGGCCACCAUGGCACACCUAACUGCAUAGUUCCCAGAGUCCCAUGCAUCAUGAAUUUGUUAAUAACAAAUGAUUUAACUUCAGUUCAUUUUCUUCCUGUAGGUUGCAAAAGCAGGCUGGACCCUGGAAGAUGUUGAUGUGUUUGAAAUCAAUGAAGCCUAUGCAGCUCUUUCUGUUGCAAUAGCUAAAGAACUCGGACUAAACCCCGAGAAGGUCAACAUCGAUGGAGGAGCCAUUGCCUUGGGCCAUCCUCUGGGAGCAUCCGGCUGUAGGAUUCUAGUGACCUUGUUACACAGCCUUGAGAGAAUGGGCGGGACUCGUGGUGUGGCAGCCCUGUGCAUUGGGGGUGGGAUGGGGAUAGCAAUGUGUGUUCAGAGAGGGUGACCUGCCUGACAGCCACCACCCCUGAACACUUCUUGCUAAAUCAGUGAAACACUAUAGUAUGUGAAAUCAGAGGACCAAAGUGAGGACAGGAAGCCAGGUGGUCAGCUUGCUGUACUUUAAUGAGACACCCAAGGCUAAGACAUGGCGUCUGACACUGCUAUAAAUAAAAGGGAAAUCCAACCAAUCAGUCA
Molecule: long non-coding RNA, 1166 nt
Organism: Alexandromys fortis (reed vole)
Lineage: Eukaryota; Metazoa; Chordata; Mammalia; Rodentia; Cricetidae
Exons: 2
Source: RefSeq, a predicted model, not a curated record